RNAcentral lists this long non-coding RNA (266 nucleotides) under Ananas comosus (pineapple). RNAcentral's name for it is "long non-coding RNA (ACOM_LNC005102)". Lineage: Eukaryota; Viridiplantae; Streptophyta; Magnoliopsida; Poales; Bromeliaceae. The record is from RNAcentral.
GAACGUAGGUGGAAAUCCCAGAGAGGAAGAAGAGAGAGAAUAAGGAUGAUAUUUCGUGGGUUUUUACGAAUUUGAUCGUAUUCGAUCGUCUCUUUUUUCGGAGAGAAAAGGGGGCGUAUAUAUAGAAUAACAAAACCCCUAAAUAUCCUGAAUCUCAUAUAGAUUAGGAUAAGGAUCAGGAUAUCUAUUAACAUAUAAUAGAUAUCCACUAGUAGAUAUGUUUCUUAACUGAUAAGAAACAUAUGAUUCAUUCUUAUCCUAAACUU